GAUGAACGCUCGCGGCAGGCCUAAUACAUGCAAGUCGGACGGGAUUCAGGAGCUUGCUUCUGAUGAGAGUGGCGCACGGGUGCGUAACACGUAUGUAACCUACCUUUAUCAGGGGGAUAGCCUCUCGAAAGAGAGAUUAAGCCCGCAUAAAAUCACAGCACAGCAUUGUGUAAUGAUCAAAUAUUUAUAGGAUAAAGAUGGGCAUGCGGAACAUUAGCCAGAUGGCGGGGUAACGGCCCACCAUGGCGACGAUGUUUAGGGGAUCUGAGAGGAUGGCCCCCCACACUGGUACUGAGACACGGACCAGACUCCUACGGGAGGCAGCAGUAAGGAAUAUUGGUCAAUGGGCGGAAGCCUGAACCAGCCAUGCCGCGUGCAGGAAGACGGCCCUACGGGUUGUAAACUGCUUUUAUACGGGAAUAAACCCAGAUACGUGUAUCUGGCUGAAUGUACUGUAAGAAUAAGAAUCGGCUAACUCCGUG
RNAcentral lists this ribosomal RNA (482 nucleotides) under uncultured bacterium. Its description in RNAcentral is "partial 16S ribosomal RNA". It matches the Rfam family "Bacterial small subunit ribosomal RNA", at positions 28 to 507 of the family's 1533-position model. The record is from RNAcentral.